UUAAAGAUAGCUUGCUAUUUUUAUGAAGAGCGGCGAACGGGUGAGUAACGCGUGGGAAAUCUGCCGAGUAGCGGGGGACAACGUUUGGAAACGAACGCUAAUACCGCAUAACAAUGAGAAUCGCAUGAUUCUUAUUUAAAAGAAGCAAUUGCUUCACUACUUGAUGAUCCCGCGUUGUAUUAGCUAGUUGGUAGUGUAAAGGACUACCAAGGCGAUGAUACAUAGCCGACCUGAGAGGGUGAUCGGCCACACUGGGACUGAGACACGGCCCAGACUCCUACGGGAGGCAGCAGUAGGGAAUCUUCGGCAAUGGGGGCAACCCUGACCGAGCAACGCCGCGUGAGUGAAGAAGGUUUUCGGAUCGUAAAACUCUGUUGUUAGAGAAGAACGUUAAGUAGAGUGGAAAAUUACUUAAGUGACGGUAUCUAACCAGAAAGGGACGGCUAACUACGUGCCAGCAGCCGCGGUAAUACGUAGGUCCCAAGCGUUGUCCGGAUUUAUUGGGCGUAAAGCGAGCGCAGGUGGUUUCUUAAGUCUGAUGUAAAAGGCAGUGGCUCAACCAUUGU
Molecule: ribosomal RNA, 566 nt
Filed under: Lactococcus garvieae
Lineage: Bacteria; Bacillati; Bacillota; Bacilli; Lactobacillales; Streptococcaceae
Description: bacterial SSU rRNA
Rfam family: Bacterial small subunit ribosomal RNA
Source: RNAcentral